UACGUAGGGGGCAAGCGUUGUCCGGAAUCAUUGGGCGUAAAGAGCGUGUAGGCGGCCCGAUAAGUCCGCUGUGAAAGUCCAGGGCUCAACCCUGGGAUGCCGGUGGAUACUGUCGGGCUCGAGUCCGGAAGAGGAGUGUGGAAUUCCUGGUGUGGCGGUGAAAUGCGCAGAUAUCAGGAGGAACACCAGCGGCGAAGGCGGUGCUCUGGGCCGGAACUGACGCUGAGGAGCGAAAGCGUGGGGAGCGAACAGG
This 253-nucleotide ribosomal RNA is filed under the name uncultured bacterium. RNAcentral describes it as "partial 16S ribosomal RNA". It matches the Rfam family "Bacterial small subunit ribosomal RNA", at positions 524 to 776 of the family's 1533-position model. The record is from RNAcentral.